This is a long non-coding RNA of Falco peregrinus (peregrine falcon), 2633 nucleotides long. RefSeq lists it as uncharacterized. The record is from RefSeq and is a predicted model, not a curated record. The transcript has 2 exons. Lineage: Eukaryota; Metazoa; Chordata; Aves; Falconiformes; Falconidae.
CUUACAGGUCGGUGCCGAGCUGGGUGAAGCCGGAGUUGAGGCAGCCACGGGCUAUGCGCCUCCAGAGGAGAUCGCGGCUACUGAGGAAGCGCAGGCGGCGGCAGACCUGGCCCAGGCGGCCCAAGGCCUGCGCGUCCAGCCUGAACCUCUGUGCUGAGGCAUCAGUGAAGUCAUCUACUUGCUUAUUUUCUGUUGUGCGCCCUGAAGUGUGAGGCCCAUUUGCUGCGUGGAUGCCCUAGCAGGUGUUUGGAUGUGCAGGUGUGUGCACAGGCAAAGUCCUGAGCGCAAGCACAAACAAGGAUUUGAAUACCAGGGCCUUUCAGCCUGAACCUGACACUGCCACUUUAAAACCAGAGACAUGGACAUCAAAGUUUUUCACUCCCCAGAAGGAAUGGACUAUUUUGCACCCUUCCAAAUGAUGUCUCUCAUCUCUCUGCCUUUCCUACAGCCUUCUCUCUCUCACACACACACACUUUUUCUAAUACCAUCCCUCCCUCUCUACUUUAAACCAUGGGAAAAACCUAGGAAAAGAAGCUUGCCGACUAAGGGACCGUUUCGCUGCAUUGUGUUUUCCAGCUAGACCUGAACAGACUGAAAUCAAUUCAGCUCUCUCACACUCGCUCUUUCCCUCCCUCUCCCAUGUCUUUUUUUGUUUCUCUUAGAUCGUGCUCUCUGCCUUAAGAAAACCCAGUUUAGUUAUAUCCAUCCCCAUAGCAAUCAAGUGACCAGUAGGUUUUUUAUUGCUUGUAAAAACACAGUAUCUUUUUCAUGGGAGUCAGGUUCUUUGGUUUGAAAUGCCCAGUGAGCAGUGCCAACAACCUGCAGAAUCUUUGAUCAAUUCUCACAUAUCCAUUUGAAGUAUCUUUAGUAGACUUGUCAAAAUAAAGGGUCAAAAUUAGUAUUUUAAUAUAGUGUACCAGCCUCUCUUUGUGUUAUUGGCAAGAGGCCUGAUUUAACAGAAGUUCGCAGAAAUACCUGUAUCUGACCUGAAUUGCUACGUGGUCUAAAAAAUAUACAUUAUUAAAGCUGAAGUCCAGCUGUUGCUAUAUUAAUAUCCUCUGUUUUUUAUUUGCUCUUACCUUUUGGAAGGUUUCAGUUUUCAUUCUGAAAUUUUCCAGGCUUGCUCCCAAUACCGAGGUUAUAACUGCAGGCCUGGUAAGGACCAGAGGAGAAUGCAAGAAGGUUCACUGGAAAUUUGAACAGGCGAGAUUCAGCACAGCAGAGCCAGCAGCCCAAAGAAGGCAGAAGUGUCACUUAAAUUUUGAUUGUAGCACCUGUUGACAAAGGGAUAGAAUUAAGAUGUGUGUGCAAUUGGAAUUUUAUGUCUUCCGAUCUUCACAAUAGUUAAUUACGCAGUUAGCGUUCCCUCAACAUAUUUUUUUCUUUCCCUGAGUUUUCCAGGGUCUCAGGGCCCUACAUCAACAACUCAGGUUGCUGUAAACAACAGUUUCACUGCAUUGAACAGAAUUAUGCUGCUUUAUAUCAAAACAAGGUGUCACCCAAAGAAAACACAGAAGUUAUCCACCUAGCCCAUCCAGAACUUCCAAAAUAAAGAAAACCCAGCAACGAAGACUAACCACAAAACAGAAAUGUCCAAUGAAAGCCAAACACCACCAUUGCAAAACAGUUUAAAUAAGAAAAAAAGUGUCAUGAAGUUGCAAGUUAUCACCACUGCCCAGUAGACAUGAUCCCUGGUGGUGUGCCCUAAAAAACAUAACACUCUCCCAGUCAAACUGCACUUGCAAAGUCCAACCAGCAGAUACUGGCAUGCCAAGAGCUUCUUCUCAUGCAGCCCCAGUUGACCAGAAAACAGUGAGGUCUUGAUAUGUUUUAAUGAUAGCUAAAUCAAAAACAGCACUGCAGAAACCUGCGGAACACUUACAAGGCAUUCAGUUCAGGUCAUUGCCCGGUCCCAGGGUGGGUACAUCCCAUUUAAGAACUGAAUUGUCACUUUCUGUGCUACCUGCAGCUUCCAAUGGCAGCUGGAACAAUCCUAAAUACAAGCCGUGGCACUAAAACCUGCCUUCCAGACUGACAAACUCAGAGUCAGUUGCCUGUCUGUCACUGCCCGCCGAGAAUCUGGGAAAGUCAAGCAGAACUGCUGGGUGCUCAACUCCACUGGAAACAUCAUUUUAUUUAGGUGCCUAAAUACUCUUUUCAUUGUCUAGCUUCUGACUGUUAACACUACACGUGCUGCAACUCACCUGCCUUUUGCACUACUUUGCUGUGGUGUGAGCUUUAAUACUACAAUUCCAAAUUAUUUCCCAAACAGCACAACGCAGCGUGGGCUUUUUUCCCUCUACCACCUCAAAUACGCUGGCAGUAUCAGGUAAUUGCCUUGCAGCUUAAACUACCCGAGAUUUGUAACCAGUAUCUCCUAAGUAUCUUGAUUUUAGCAGCACCCAGAAUGUGGCCUAAUUAAUUUUCAGCCAGCUGCACAGCUUCUCAGAGCUGUUUCAGGAGAAGAGGUGAUUAAUUAUGACCCCAAUUUUGUGCAAUACAGACUUUUAGCUAAAGGAAUUGAAAAGCUCAGCUAUUCAAGUCAGUAACAAUUUAAUUUGGUUUAUACAUGUCAGUAAUAUGUGUGUGUUUAUAAAUAUACCCUGUAUUUAAUAAACAGUGUAUUAUGCAAA